Molecule: ribosomal RNA, 228 nt
Filed under: Enterobacter sp. SMg9Eb
Lineage: Bacteria; Pseudomonadati; Pseudomonadota; Gammaproteobacteria; Enterobacterales; Enterobacteriaceae
Description: partial 16S ribosomal RNA
Rfam family: Bacterial small subunit ribosomal RNA
Source: RNAcentral
UAUGAGAAGGCCUUCGGGUUGUAAAGUACUUUCAGCGGGGAGGAAGGUGUUGAGGUUAAUAACCUCAGCAAUUGACGUUACCCGCAGAAGAAGCACCGGCUAACUCCGUGCCAGCAGCCGCGGUAAUACGGAGGGUGCAAGCGUUAAUCGGAAUUACUGGGCGUAAAGCGCACGCAGGCGGUCUGUCAAGUCGGAUGUGAAAUCCCCGGGCUCAACCUGGGAACUGCA